This 72-nucleotide transfer RNA is filed under the name Candidatus Woesearchaeota archaeon. RNAcentral describes it as "tRNA-Val". It matches the Rfam family "tRNA". Rfam says of the family: Transfer RNA (tRNA) molecules are approximately 80 nucleotides in length. The record is from RNAcentral. Lineage: Archaea; Nanobdellati; Candidatus Woesearchaeota.
GGGCUUGUAGUUUAGGGGCAAAACAUUCGCUUGACGUGCGAAAGAUCUUGGGUUCGAUUCCCAACAGGCCCA